GGGGAGAUGGCUCAGUGGUUAGAGCACUGGCUGCUCUUCCAGAGGACCUGGGUUCAAUUCCCAGCAACCACA
Molecule: transfer RNA, 72 nt
Filed under: Neotoma lepida (desert woodrat)
Lineage: Eukaryota; Metazoa; Chordata; Mammalia; Rodentia; Cricetidae
Rfam family: tRNA
About the family: Transfer RNA (tRNA) molecules are approximately 80 nucleotides in length.
Source: Rfam by way of RNAcentral